RNAcentral lists this ribosomal RNA (1346 nucleotides) under uncultured bacterium. RNAcentral's name for it is "bacterial SSU rRNA". It matches the Rfam family "Bacterial small subunit ribosomal RNA", at positions 28 to 1381 of the family's 1533-position model. The record is from RNAcentral.
GACGAACGCUGGCGGCGUGCUUAACACAUGCAAGUCGAACGGAAAGGCCCUGCUUUUGUGGGGUGCUCGAGUGGCGAACGGGUGAGUAACACGUGAGUAACCUGCCCUUGACUUUGGGAUAACUUCAGGAAACUGGGGCUAAUACCGGAUAGGAGCUCCUGCUGCAUGGUGGGGGUUGGAAAGUUUCGGCGGUUGGGGAUGGACUCGCGGCUUAUCAGCUUGUUGGUGGGGUAGUGGCUUACCAAGGCUUUGACGGGUAGCCGGCCUGAGAGGGUGACCGGCCACAUUGGGACUGAGAUACGGCCCAGACUCCUACGGGGGGCAGCAGUGGGGAAUAUUGCACAAUGGGCGGAAGCCUGAUGCAGCAACGCCGCGUGCGGGAUGACGGCCUUCGGGUUGUAAACCGCUUUCGCCUGUGACGAAGCGUGAGUGACGGUAAUGGGUAAAGAAGCACCGGCUAACUACGUGCCAGCAGCCGCGGUGAUACGUAGGGUGCGAGCGUUGUCCGGAUUUAUUGGGCGUAAAGGGCUCGUAGGUGGUUGAUCGCGUCGGAAGUGUAAUCUUGGGGCUUAACCCUGAGCGUGCUUUCGAUACGGGUUGACUUGAGGAGGGUAGGGGAGAAUGGAAUUCCUGGUGGAGCGGUGGAAUGCGCAGAUAUCAGGAGGAACACCAGUGGCGAAGGCGGUUCUCUGGGCCUUUCCUGACGCUGAGGAGCGAAAGCGUGGGGAGCGAACAGGCUUAGAUACCCUGGUAGUCCACGCUGUAAACGGUGGGUACUAGGUGUGGGGUCCAUUCCACGGGUUCCGUGCCGUAGCUAACGCUUUAAGUACCCCGCCUGGGGAGUACGGCCGCAAGGCUAAAACUCAAAGGAAUUGACGGGGCCCCGCACAAGCGGCGGAGCAUGCGGAUUAAUUCGAUGCAACGCGUAGAACCUUACCUGGGUUUGACAUGGAUCGGGAGCGCUCAGAGAUGGGUGUGCCUCUUUUGGGGUCGGUUCACAGGUGGUGCAUGGCUGUCGUCAGCUCGUGUCGUGAGAUGUUGGGUUAAGUCCCGCAACGAGCGCAACCCUUGUUCACUGUUGCCAGCACGUUAUGGUGGGGACUCAGUGGAGACCGCCGGGGUCAACUCGGAGGAAGGUGGGGAUGACGUCAAGUCAUCAUGCCCCUUAUGUCCAGGGCUUCACGCAUGCUACAAUGGCUGGUACAGAGAGUGGCGAGCCUGUGAGGGUGAGCGAAUCUCGGAAAGCCGGUCUCAGUUCGGAUUGGGGUCUGCAACUCGACCUCAUGAAGUCGGAGUCGCUAGUAAUCGCAGAUCAGCAACGCUGCGGUGAAUACGUUCCCGGGGCU